UACGGGGGGGGUAAGCGUUGUUCGGAAUUACUGGGCGUAAAGGGCUCGUAGGCGGCCAACUAAGUCAUACGUGAAAUCCCUCAGCUUAACUGGGGAACUGCGUGUGAUACUGGAUGGCUUGGAUUUGGGAGAGGGAUGCGGAAUUCCAGGUGUAGCGGUGAAAUGCGUAGAUAUCGUGAGGAAGACCAGUGGCGAAGGCGAUUCUCUGGGCAAUUCCUGACACUGAGGCACGAAGGCCAGGGGAGCAAACGGG
This 253-nucleotide ribosomal RNA is filed under the name uncultured bacterium. RNAcentral's name for it is "partial 16S ribosomal RNA". It matches the Rfam family "Bacterial small subunit ribosomal RNA", at positions 524 to 776 of the family's 1533-position model. The record is from RNAcentral.